This 252-nucleotide ribosomal RNA is filed under the name uncultured Fusibacter sp. RNAcentral's name for it is "partial 16S ribosomal RNA". It matches the Rfam family "Bacterial small subunit ribosomal RNA", at positions 524 to 776 of the family's 1533-position model. Lineage: Bacteria; Bacillati; Bacillota; Clostridia; Eubacteriales; Fusibacteraceae. The record is from RNAcentral.
UACGUAGGGGGCAAGCGUUAUCCGGAAUCACUGGGCGUAAAGGGUGCGUAGGUGGCUCAUCAAGCCAGAGGUGAAAGGCAUUGGCUCAACCAAUGUAAGCCUUUGGAACUGAAGAGCUUGAGUGCAGGAGAGGUAAGUGGAAUUCCUAGUGUAGAGGUGAAAUUCGUAGAUAUUAGGAGGAACACCAGUGGCGAAGGCGACUUACUGGACUGUAACUGACACUGAGGCACGAAAGCGUGGGUAGCGAACAGG